CGCGUGGGCUGCAUCCCUGCGAGGCCCAACCUCCCGCACUUCUCUAGGCCUGCCCGGCCUCCUCUCCACCGACGGGCCUCAGCCCAUGGUGAGCUGCCCCUCGCCCAUAUCCUGUUUCGACCCUGUAGCAGUUUCGGCCCGACCAUGUUUUUUCCCCGCGCUGCAAUCUUCUCUAUUAUCUAGUGACUGCCAGUUUUACAGAAAAGUCCUUCAAGUUCAUGCAUUUAAUAACUAAACAACCAUGCAUCGGAUUAAAACAAACUUUAUAUGUAAAAUGAUUAGAAUUUCAUCUAGUUUCUUAAUAUGCUGCUUUCAUCCAUGCUAAAAAUGUUUAAAUUGUUGUUUGCAUUAAUUUGCAUAUAUGACAUGCUAAAAUGGUUUAUUCCAUAACUUAAUAACCGUAGCUCCGUUUUAAAUAAACUUUAUAUGUAAAUGGUGUACAAAAUGCAUAGAUUAACAUGGUGCACUUAUUUUGCAUGUUUAACAAUUCUAAAAUAUGGUUUAGGGCAGAACAGUACCAAAAUUGAAAAUUGCCUACGAGGAUUUUUUCGGAAUUGUUGUUUGUGUUUCCAGCCUCAUUUAAACUUGCCUAAAUAGGUAGUUUGUUUACGCUUCACCUCUUGCCAUGUUAACCAACAUUCAAUAUUGAUGAGUAGUAUAAACAAGAGUGAACUAAAUAUUUGAAUGUGGUGUUUCGUUAAUAUGCAACUCGUUGCAUAUUGAGCUCCACUUAAUUUGUAGUAUCGCUUGUUGCACUUUGCCAUGCCAUGCCUCAUUAAACUGGACAUGCAUCAUACUUGGUUGUGCAUCAUGCCAUGUUUACGCUUGUUGGUUUACCGUGUUGUUUGCUUCUUUUCAGUUAUGCUUCUUCAUGAUAGUUCCGGUUAUGUUGCGAUUGUGAGCAUUCGUUCGACUACGUCCGUUCGUCUUCUUCAUGGAUUCGGUGUUUUUCCUAGCGGGAUUUCGGGCAAGAUGACCGUUACCCUGGAUAUCACUAUCAUCUUUGCUUGCUAGUUGUCUCGAUGCUAUCGCUAUGUCGCACUACCUACCAUUUGUUUGUCAAGCCUCCCAAAUUGCCAUGAUAAGCCUCUAACCUUUUUCAUCAUCCCAGAAAACCGUUGUUUGGCUAUGUUACAGUUCUGCUCAGCUCUUCUUAUAGCGUUGCUAGUUGCAGGUGCAACGCAGGUAGUUUCAUGUUGGGACAUGGAUAUCAUGGAAUAUCAUAAUAUCUCUUAUUUAAUUAAUGCAUCUAUAUACUUGGUAAAUGGUGGAAGGCUUGGCCUUUUGCUUGAUGUUUUGUUCCACUCUUAUCGCCUUAGUUUCCGUCAUACUGGUGUUAUGUUCCUUGAUUUUGCGUUCCUAACACGCUCGGAGUUUAUGGGCCCCCUUUGUUUCUUCGCCUAAAGUAAAGCUUUCCCGAGGAGAUCCAACUUUGGUUUACCAUUUGCCUAAUAACAACUAAAAUUUGCAUAGGGAGUAAUUAACCCGAUGAUUCUUAAUCAACAACCCCGGGCUAGUGCUCGACAUGAGUGUUGAUCCACCUACCUAGCAGUCGGCGGUGCCGCCUCGGGGCAACUUGAGGUCUUUUGGCUAUCCUCCACUUCGCAUAGACGGAUGAGUCCGUAGAUAGAGAGCGCACGGCUCUGGACAUGAAUCUGACUCACUGGGAGAUCUCCUUGGGAUAGUUUUCCUUUCUUCGAAGAGCUUGUGCACCAGGAUUCUGAGGAUACUCGGGGUGUCCCGAGAUGGAGAAUUGCCUCCGUGGAUUGUGAGAGCUUAACAUGGGCUAAGUUGGGACACCCCUGCAGGGUUUAAACUUUUGAGAGCCGUGCCCGCGGUUAUGUGGCAGAUGGGAGUUUUUAAUAUCCGGUUGUAGAGAACUUGACACAAGUCCUAAAAUAAAAUACACCAACCGUGUGCGUAACCGUGACCGUCUCUUUUCGAGUGAGUUCGAGUAGCGAACACGGUGGGGUUAUGUUUGAACGUAAGUAGUUCAGGAUCACUUAUUGAUCAUUACUAGUUUGCGACCAUUAUGCGUAGUUUCUCUUCUUAUUCUUGUGCUCGUAAGUUAGCCACCAUACAAUGCUUAGUGCAUGCUGCAACCUCACCACUUAUCCAUUCCAUACCCAUUAAGCUUUGCUAGUCUUGAUACCCAUGGUAAUGGGAUUGCUGAGUCCUCGUGGCUCACAGAUUACUACAACAACAGGUGCAGGUACAGGUAAUGCGAUGAUCUGACAUGAGAGCAAUGCUUGCUUGUUUUGGAGUUCUUCUGCUUCUUCUUCCUCGAUCAAGGGACAGGUUCCUGGUCGGGAGCCUCGGAUUAGCAGGGUGGAUGUCGUUCUUCUUUUUCAUUUAGUUCAUCCAUAGUCGGAUCCCGCUCUUCUGUAUGAUGAUUCCUAUGUAUUGAUGUAUUCAUGUUGUAGCUUGUGGCGAGUGUAAGCCUUUAUCUUGUAUUCUCAUCUAUUCAGUACAUGGUAUGUUG
Molecule: long non-coding RNA, 2482 nt
Filed under: Triticum aestivum (bread wheat)
Lineage: Eukaryota; Viridiplantae; Streptophyta; Magnoliopsida; Poales; Poaceae
Description: long non-coding RNA (TAES_LNC017603)
Source: RNAcentral